Molecule: long non-coding RNA, 308 nt
Organism: Tyto alba (common barn owl)
Lineage: Eukaryota; Metazoa; Chordata; Aves; Strigiformes; Tytonidae
Exons: 3
Source: RefSeq, a predicted model, not a curated record
CAGAACUGGCAGUGACCCCAAAAUCUGGGUGUUUACAAAGUGUUGCCAGAGGCUACAUGAGGCUCUGCCACAUUUCUGGAGCCACUCAGGGGAAGAAGUUGCAGAGACAGCUGCUAGCAGAGAGACCCAACCAAAAUGGGCUGACUCAUCUCAGCCCAUUUGAACAGAGAAAAGAUGAACAAACCUUAAUGAGGGAAGGAUCCCUGCAGAGACAAGGCAUGCAAAAGAUAAUGGAUUGAGGCAUUCAGAAGAUUUUUUCUCUUAUCCCCAUGGUAAAUAUCUGAAAAUGUUAGUGAGAGAACAGAGAC